GCGCCUGUAGCUCAGUGGAUAGAGCAUCUGCCUCCGGAGCAGAAGGUCGGGGGUUCGAAUCCCUUCAGGCGCA
Molecule: transfer RNA, 73 nt
Filed under: Promicromonospora aerolata
Lineage: Bacteria; Bacillati; Actinomycetota; Actinomycetes; Micrococcales; Promicromonosporaceae
Also listed under: 9 other names
Description: tRNA-Arg
Rfam family: tRNA
About the family: Transfer RNA (tRNA) molecules are approximately 80 nucleotides in length.
Source: RNAcentral